RNAcentral lists this ribosomal RNA (442 nucleotides) under uncultured bacterium. Its description in RNAcentral is "partial 16S ribosomal RNA". It matches the Rfam family "Bacterial small subunit ribosomal RNA", at positions 338 to 795 of the family's 1533-position model. The record is from RNAcentral.
CCUACGGGAGGCAGCAGUGGGGAAUAUUGGGCAAUGGGCGCAAGCCUGACCCAGCCACGCCGCGUGAAGGAAGAAGGCUUUCGGGUUGUAAACUUCUUUUCUGGGGGACGAACAAAUGACGGUACCCCAGGAAUAAGCCACGGCUAACUAGGUGCCAGCAGCCGCGGUAAUACGUAGGUGGCAAGCGUUAUCCGGAUUUAUUGGGUGUAAAGGGCGUGUAGGCGGGAAUGCAGGUCAGAGGUGAAAACUAAGGGCUCAACCCUGAGACUGCAUUUGAAACUGUGUUUCUUGAGUGCUGGAGAGGCAGUCGGAAUGCCGGGUGUAGCGGUGAAAUGCAUAGAUAUACGGAAGAACACCAGUGGCGAAGGCGGAUUGCUGGACAGUAACGGACGCUGAGGCGCGAAAGCGUGGGGAGCAAACAGGAUUAGAUACCCCAGUAGUC